GAUGAACGCUGGCGGCGUGCCUAAUACAUGCAAGUCGAGCGAACGGACGAGAAGCUUGCUUCCCUGAUGUUAGCGGCGGACGGGUGAGUAACACGUGGAUAACCUACCUAUAAGACUGGGAUAACUUCGGGAAACCGGAGCUAAUACCGGAUAAUAUUUUGAACCGCAUGGUUCAAGAGUGAAAGACGGUCUUGCUUUCACUUAUAGAUGGAUCCGCGCUGCAUUAACUAGUUGGUAAGGUAACGGCUUACCAAGGCAACGAUGCAUAGCCGACCUGAGAGGGUGAUCGGCCACACUGGAACUGAGACACGGUCCAGACUCCUACGGGAGGCAGCAGUAGGGAAUCUUCCGCAAUGAGCGAAGGCCUGACGGGGCAACGCCGCGUGAGUGAUGAAGGUCUUCGGAUCGUAAAACUCUGUUAUUAGGGAAGAACAUAUGUGUAAGUAACUGUGCACAUCUUGACGGUACCUAAUCAGAAAGCCACGGCUAACUACGUG
This 497-nucleotide ribosomal RNA is filed under the name uncultured bacterium. Its description in RNAcentral is "partial 16S ribosomal RNA". It matches the Rfam family "Bacterial small subunit ribosomal RNA", at positions 28 to 507 of the family's 1533-position model. The record is from RNAcentral.